Long non-coding RNA from Gasterosteus aculeatus aculeatus (three-spined stickleback), 1291 nucleotides. The record is from Ensembl. NCBI's taxonomy places the organism in Eukaryota, Metazoa, Chordata, Actinopteri, Perciformes, Gasterosteidae.
GCCGUAUUCCCCUUUGGUCCUGUGCUGUACAGAUAGAAAGAGGGAGAACAUGCUGCUGUUUUGCCAUUUGAUAUUUUGUCAUUUGAUAUUUUCUUUGGUUUACUUUAUGCUGUUUUUCUCAGUUGUUUUGUUUGCUGUGUUCAACUUGCCUGGUUUUUAUAAUCUUAACCCUGUUUUUAGUGAUUUGUGCUUACCUUGGUUUUAUCGUUUUCUUCAAUAAAACCUUUUUCUUAAUUACUACAAACGUCUCUGCCUAAUCCACAGUAACUUAUUUGGGUGUCUAGGGUAUCUAAAUCUGUAUUUAUUGGGCUGUAAGUCCCCACGUGGAGUUGUUGGUUGCUUUCCCUAAAGCCCCGUCACAUAAACAAGUUUUGAUAUCUCGUAUCGAAAAAAACUUUUUCUGAUAUUUUCCUCUACACUGAUUUAAUCAGUUCAUUCUGUGCACCUGCUAGUCACCUCCACCUCGUCAGCCCUUAUCGAGAUUACUACCUGUUUGGAUCACUGCAUCCAGGUCAGACGAUCGGCAAGACAUCUGGAUCAGUCCAGCAAGGGGGAACCAUUUUGCUUACAAUUGCUCAUUAAAUCGUGCUCGCCAGUAAAGGACGAAGUACUAGUGAGCCGAACAGUUUCUCAACCCCCUGCCUGACAACGACCCCUUUUCCACGCUUAGGCUACUAUUCCCCAGGGGACCCCAUACAAUUUCCACUCUCCUGGAUUCGAGAGCAGAUACGUCCAUAAUGAACAAGGACCUUGUUUAACAACUGGGGAUUGCCCAGAUACCUCUCCCCCAGGCUGUUCCAGCCAGCGCCCUGGACGGUCACCUUCUGGGAGCAAUGACGCACAACACUGUUCCGGUCCACAUGCUGCUGUCAGAAAACCACCACGAGACCAUCAGCUUCCACAUUCUGCAGACCUGGUGCACCCCCCUUAUUCUGGGAUACGCCUAGCUAACGCUGACACAAUCCUCACAUCGACUGGACUAUGGGGGCUUUUGGGGGCUGGAGCCAGUACGGCCAUCUAGUCUGCCUGAAGCAAGCCACCGUUCCACAAGGUGCCACAUAAUGGCAUUCUUAAACUACGCUGCAAUUUUAUCUUUUUAAUGACUGUUAUUCUUUGUGUUUCUAUCAAUGUUCUUAACUUUUUGUAAAUCUCCUUGCUUUGUGUUUGUAUGUUUUUUAUGGUUUUAUGUAAAGCACUUGGAAAUGCAUUGUUGUUGAAAUGUGCUAUACAAAUAAAAUUGCCUUGCCUAAAAUGAUUUUGCCUUUUCUCCAAUGCAGAGGUUUUCCGAUUA